GUUCGAUUAGUUCAGUUAUUAGAGCGUUGCACACUUAAAGUGCAAAGGUCGGGAGUUAGAUCCUCUCAUCGAACG
Molecule: non-coding RNA, 75 nt
Organism: Sordaria macrospora k-hell
Lineage: Eukaryota; Fungi; Ascomycota; Sordariomycetes; Sordariales; Sordariaceae
Source: the annotation of a RefSeq genome assembly